GCCCCUUUCCACGUCCGCCUGCUCUCGUCUGCUUUCCAGGCGAGGCGCAGUUCAACUCGAACGAGCCUAUUCUCUACGUACAGUUACGCACCGAAUCACGUCGGACGUUGUGGCUCGUGACCAUACAUACGUUCUUAGCGGCCACGCGACGCCGUAGCUGUCAGUGAGAGGACCUUUAAAUGGCCGCUCGGUACGACUCGGUAAUAACCGGUAAUAACGCUGCUACGGAGAGAUUCGGUUAAACAGCGGCUGUGUUUACCGCUAGUGUCGCUCGGUUUAUACCAAACUAACAUUUUGACCGUUUUAUUUGUUGUGAAACGAAACGAAAAUGAGCGACGAGGACGAGUUUCUGCAGAAAGCUCGAACCGGGUUUGAAGACCUAUGUCGAGCUUUAAAUAUGGACGAGGAGGCGAGUAGAGAGGCGUGGAGGAGCUACGAGGACAUGAGCAGGAACUAUACCUUAGAGGGCAGCGUCCUCCACUGGUUGUCCUGCUCUCUGUACGUAGCCUGCAGGUCUUCAGUCCCCACAGUGGGUAAAGGCACCACUGAAGGAAACUACGUCUCUCUGACCAGAAUCCUACGCUGCUCAGAGAUGAGUCUGAUCGAGUUCUUUAAUAAGAUGAAGAAGUGGCAGGACAUGGCCGACCUGCCUCAGGACUUCCGUCAGAGCACCAACAAACUAGAGAGGAACUUCACCGUGUCGGCGGUGAUCUUCAAGAAGUACGUCCCGAUCUUCAAAGCCAUCUUCAAGGCGCCGUCCGAGGAGCCGACCCGAGUUCACCGCAGCCGCAAACAGAGACGUCAUCCCUGCUCUGUGACCGAGGUCUUCAACUUCUGCUGGGUUCUGUUUGUCCACGCUAAAGGGAACUUCCCGAUGAUCAGCGAUGACCUGGUGAACUCCUACCACCUGCUGCUGUGUGCCCUGGAUCUGGUCUUCACCAACGCUCUGCUGUGCAACGCCAGGAAGGACCUGCUGAACCCCAACUUCAGAGGUCUACCAGUGGACUUCAGCACUAAAGACUUCAGGCCGUCUUCAGGGCCGCACUGCUUCAUAGAGCAGCUAUGUGAGCUGCAUGAUGGUCUGGUGCUGGAGGCCAAAGGGGUCAAAGAACACUUCUGGAAACCCUUCAUCAAGAAGCUCUUCCACAAGAGGAUUGUCAGAGGAAAGGAGGACAGUCUGACCGGCUUUCUGGAUCCCUUGAACUUUGGAGACAGUUUUUUGUCUCUGACUCGAGUGUAUGAGGAACAUGUUCUGGCCACUGGUAGUCUGGAUGAGAGGAUCUUCACCGGUGACGGGGCGAGCGAGGACAUCGGGACACCGGGGCCCAGCCUGUGUGAGGGGGUGGAGAACCAGGACAGCGCCACAUACAGGCUUCACACCAGCCUCACGGCCUCGGCUCUGAAGGUGUCCACUCCUCUGACAGGGAGGAAGUACGUUCAGGAGAACAGAUGGUCGUCUCCCGUCUCGUCUGCCAUGAAGAGCGUCGGGCGACUCCACACUCUGCUGUCAGGAACCAAACAAGGGCCGAGCGCUAAGCUGAGAGAGACUCUCAGGACCUGUGCCAGAGACCCCAGUGAUGUUAUCAGCAAGCGCCUGAAGGAUAUGUUUGAGCUCUUGUGUCAACACUACGAGGGCAGCGGUGCAGAGAGCAAGGUGAUGGGGAGAGACAUGGCAGUGAAGUACUUCCACCUGGCGGAGGCGCUCUACUACAGGAUGCUGGAGUCCAUCAUCGAGAGAGAGAAGAUGAUCCUGGGAGACGCAGACUUGUCCUGUAUCCUGGAGCAGGACGUCUUCCACCGCUCUCUGCUGGUCUGCUGUCUGGAGAUCGUGGUCUUCUCCUACAGACCUCCAGGAGAUUUCCCCAACUUGAUCACCAUCUUCCAGCUGCCAGCGUAUCACUUCUACAAGGUGAUCGAAGUGCUGGUGCGGUCGGAGCAGGGUCUGUUUCGGGAGGUGGUGAAGCACCUGAACCAGGUGGAGGAGCAGGUUCUGGAGAGUCUGGCCUGGACCAGCGACUCCCCGCUGUGGGAGAGCCUCCGUGGGGCCAAAGACCACGUCCCCGCCUGCAAGCAGGUGAUGCCCCCUCAGUAUCUGGAACAAAGCGAUGAGAGCAGCAGUGUUCCUCAGACUCCCAUCAACCAGGGACCAGAACUCAGAGGCGUGUCCCCGUCCCCGACCAUGCUGUUUGACCGGUACAGCUCUCCUCCCACCGGCCCGUUUCGCCGCCGUCUGUUCGUCGACCCUGCGGACAGAGAACCGACCGCUGUGACCAAGACCGGCCUGGUCGCCACCAUCCCAGCUGGGCAGACGGUGGUCUCAAUGGCGACCGCCACCGUCACCGCCAACAACGGGCAGACAGUCACCAUUCCGGUGCAAGGGAUAGCCAAUGAGAGCGGAGGCAUCACCUUCUUCCCCGUCCAGGUGAGCGUGACCGGACAGGGAGGAGCCACGCUGCAGCCGCUGUCCACACAGACUCUGACCGGCACCCUCACCGUCCAAUCGGUCGUCAGCACACCGGCUAAACCAGCAGCCGGUGGUCCGCUGAGGAAAGGAUCGCUGUCACUGUUCUUCAGGAAGGUGUACCACCUGGCCAGCGUCCGUCUCAGAGACCUUUGUUCCAAACUGGACAUCUCUUCAGAUCUGAGGAGGAAGAUGUGGACGUGUUUUGAACAUUCUUUGGUUCACUGCAGUGACCUGAUGAUGGACCGUCACCUGGACCAGCUGCUCAUGUGUGCUGUGUACGUCAUGGCCAAGGUGACCAAAGAAGACAAAUCCUUCCAGAACAUCAUGAAGUGUUACAGAACGCAGCCUCAGGCCAGCAGCAAUGUGUACAGGAGUGUGUUGAUCUCAGGGAGGAGACGUCACUCAGGCAGCAACAACACCAACAAACUCAACUCACCUGUCGACGUCCACCAGGAUCCAGGUAAGUAACAGCUGGUUUAGUUCAGUCCUUUGUGUUGGAUUCACUGAGGAAACAUGUUUUGUUUGUUGUGGUUUUUUAUAUUUUUUUUAUUGAGUAAGGUUCUUGGUAUAACACAUAUAGUUCAACAAGAGAAAUCAAAUUUCAUAAUAUCAUUGUUCAUUUAUCUGAGGAGCUCUAAUAUAUUAUUGUCAUUAAUUUAUACGUACAUUUUCAUGAGUUGUAAAGAUUCCUUCCAUUUUUUAAUAUGUUUUAGCAGUUCGUCUCUUUUUAUCCUUUUUCAUUAGAAAGUUAUUUUCUCAAUGUCAAAGGUUUUUAUUAUCUAGUUUCUUAACUGCAAAUACUUAAACUAUUCUCUGUCUUUUAGACCUUUAGUGUGUUAAACGUCACACACACACACACACACACACACACACACACACACACACACACACACACACACACACACACACACACACACACACACACACACACUCUGUAUAUGUUCAUGUGUUUACAGGACUUCUUCAGAACGUUGGUUGAGAUGACAGAACCAGAACCAAAGAGGGAUCCUGAAGACCGGACUGAGACGGACCUGAUGGAUCCAGAUGAACCUCCCAGUUGUUCCAGGCUGACCACUAACCAGCUGCAGCAGAACUUGAGAGCCGUGAAGAAGAGAGAGCGACCCGUCAGGCUGCUGUUUGAAAUCCCAACGACUCGAAUCAUCAAAGAUGUUCUGACCGAAUACGUGGUGAGACGUCACACCCGUAUGUCAAGUGUCAGGUACACCUGUUUUACAAGUGUAUGGUACACCUGUAUGACAAGUGUCAGUUACACCUGUAUGACAAGUGUAUGGUACACCUGUAUGACAAGUGUCAGGUACACCAGUUGCAGGUGCACCUGCAACUCUGUUCACCUGUAAUCUUUAUUUGUUCUUUGUAGCGUUCAACUUUCAAAUCAAGAUCAUAAAAUGCGUCACAGAACAGCAGCCUGCUGUGGAUCAAUACAACAUGUUUUAUAUUAACAUCACUAUAACCAGAGGAAUAAUAAAGUCUGUACUGUGUCUUUAAAUGCAGGUACAUCUUCUACUAAGAGAGUCAAAUGUUCAUAUUGAUAUAGCUCUCAUGUCUGCACAGCAGCUGAGUGGCUUAGCUUAGCA
This is an RNA transcript of Anarrhichthys ocellatus (wolf-eel), 4059 nucleotides long. It is a transcript of the gene named retinoblastoma-like 2 (p130), with no coding region annotated. Lineage: Eukaryota; Metazoa; Chordata; Actinopteri; Perciformes; Anarhichadidae. The transcript is spliced from 21 exons. The record is from RefSeq and is a predicted model, not a curated record.